AUACGGAGGAUCCGAGCGUUAUCCGGAUUUAUUGGGUUUAAAGGGUGCGCAGGCGGGAGAUUAAGUCGGCGGUGAAAUUUUGCAGCUCAACUGUAAAAGUGCCUUCGAAACUGGUUUCCUUGAGUGUAGAUGAAGUAGGCGGAAUUUGUGGUGUAGCGGUGAAAUGCAUAGAUAUCACGAGGAACUCCGAUUGCGCAGGCAGCUUACUAAACUACUACUGACGCUCAGGCACGAAUGCGUGGGGAUCAAACAGGAUUAGAUACCCUGGUAGUCCACGCAGUAAACGAUGAUUACUAGCUGUUUGCGAUACACAGUAAGCGGCUUAGCGAAAGCGUUAAGUAAUCCACCUGGGGAGUACGUUCGCAAGAAUGAAACUCAAAUGAAUUGGCGGGG
RNAcentral lists this ribosomal RNA (393 nucleotides) under uncultured bacterium. RNAcentral's name for it is "partial 16S ribosomal RNA". It matches the Rfam family "Bacterial small subunit ribosomal RNA", at positions 523 to 918 of the family's 1533-position model. The record is from RNAcentral.